GACGAACGCUGGCGGCGUGCCUAAUACAUGCAAGUAGAACGCACAGUUUAUACCGUAGCUUGCUACACCAUAGACUGUGAGUUGCGAACGGGUGAGUAACGCGUAGGUAACCUGCCUGGUAGCGGGGGAUAACUAUUGGAAACGAUAGCUAAUACCGCAUAAUAUUAAUUAUUGCAUGAUAAUUAAUUGAAAGGUGCAAUUGCACCACUACCAGAUGGACCUGCGUUGUAUUAGCUAGUAGGUGAGGUAACGGCUCACCUAGGCGACGAUACAUAGCCGACCUGAGAGGGUGAUCGGCCACACUGGGACUGAGACACGGCCCAGACUCCUACGGGAGGCAGCAGUAGGGAAUCUUCGGCAAUGGACGAAAGUCUGACCGAGCAACGCCGCGUGAGUGAAGAAGGUUUUCGGAUCGUAAAGCUCCGUUGUAAGAGAAGAACGGGUGUGAGAGUGGAAAGUUCACACUGUGACGGUAUCUUACCAGAAAGGGACGGCUAACUACGUA
This 505-nucleotide ribosomal RNA is filed under the name uncultured bacterium. RNAcentral's name for it is "partial 16S ribosomal RNA". It matches the Rfam family "Bacterial small subunit ribosomal RNA", at positions 28 to 507 of the family's 1533-position model. The record is from RNAcentral.